AGGUUAACCGUAUAGGGGAGCCGUAGAGAAAUCGAGUCUUAAUAGGGCGUUUAGUUGCUGGGUAUAGACCCGAAACCAGGCGAUCUAUCCAUGAGCAGGUUGAAGGUUGGGUAACACUAACUGGAGGACCGAACCCACUGUCGUUGAAAAGCCAGGGGAUGACUUGUGGAUAGGGGGGAAAGGCUAAUCAAGCCUGGUGAUAGCUGGUUCUCCCCGAA
This 218-nucleotide ribosomal RNA is filed under the name Acinetobacter baumannii. Its description in RNAcentral is "partial 23S ribosomal RNA". It matches the Rfam family "Bacterial large subunit ribosomal RNA", at positions 643 to 863 of the family's 2925-position model. The record is from RNAcentral. Lineage: Bacteria; Pseudomonadati; Pseudomonadota; Gammaproteobacteria; Moraxellales; Moraxellaceae.